Non-coding RNA from Triticum aestivum (bread wheat), 136 nucleotides. The record is from Rfam. NCBI's taxonomy places the organism in Eukaryota, Viridiplantae, Streptophyta, Magnoliopsida, Poales, Poaceae.
AUUCUACUCCCUCCGUUGCACAAUACAUGCCUUCUAUUUGUCAAAAUAUAUAUGUAUCUAGACAUGUUUUAGUAUAUAGGCACAUCCAUUUUUGGACAAAUGGAAGUCAAGUAUUUUGGAACCGAGGGAGUACACA